RNAcentral lists this unclassified non-coding RNA (593 nucleotides) under Hevea brasiliensis (rubber tree). Lineage: Eukaryota; Viridiplantae; Streptophyta; Magnoliopsida; Malpighiales; Euphorbiaceae. The record is from RNAcentral.
ACAAUGAAAUCUCCACGAGUUUGUACAUAAAGAGCAAGUAUAUGCCCAUGAUGUCCACAUUCAGACUGAAGCUCAUGGGAACCGUCAUCUCGAAGCAUCCACUUGUAUAACUGGAUUUUCUGAUUGAUAGCAGCUAGCAGUUUGCCAUUGAAAGCAUUCAGUGAGUAAACAGCACCCUUCGUUUCCUUCUCUGUAAUAAGCUGCAACUUCCCUUCUUCAACCAUGAAAACCAAUAUUCGGCCCUUAGUAGGUUCAUUUUCCUCUGGCAAAACAUAAGCAGUUCCAACACAAUAGUACACGUUAAUAUCAUCAGAAAAGGAACAGCUAAGUAUAGAGCAGCCAUACUCAAAUGGGUCAAGUUGGUAAGUUGAUAUGAAUUCAAAGCUUUGGUCAUCCAACAAACGGAUAAAAUGUGUUUCAGUUUCUUCUGCACUCGAUUGGUUUUUCAAACUACAAAUGGCAAAGGUUCGAGACUGCUCCUGAUGACAGAUACGCCGUGCGUGUUCCCCCAAUGGAAUAGUGCGGAUGUGAAGCUUUUGUAUAUCAUCAAUGGUGCCAAUAGUGAGUUCACCUUCUUUUGCAAUUGCAAGGCU